This 958-nucleotide ribosomal RNA is filed under the name uncultured eukaryote. RNAcentral's name for it is "SSU rRNA". It matches the Rfam family "Eukaryotic small subunit ribosomal RNA", at positions 616 to 1603 of the family's 1831-position model. The record is from RNAcentral.
CAGUUAAAAAGCUCGUAGUUGAACCUUGGGUCUGGCUGGCCGGUCCGCCUCACCGCGAGUACUGGUCCGGCUGGACCUUUCCUUCUGGGGAAUCCCAUGGCCUUCACUGGCUGUGGGUGGAACCAGGACUUUUACUGUGAAAAAAUUAGAGUGUUCAAAGCAGGCCUUUGCUCGAAUACAUUAGCAUGGAAUAAUAGAAUAGGACGUGCGGUUCUAUUUUGUUGGUUUCUAGGACCGCCGUAAUGAUUAAUAGGGAUAGUCGGGGGCGUCAGUAUUCAGCUGUCAGAGGUGAAAUUCUUGGAUUUGCUGACGACUAACUACUGCGAAAGCAUUCGCCAAGGAUGUUUUCAUUAAUCAGGGAACGAAAGUUAGGGGAUCGAAGACGAUCAGAUACCGUCGUAGUCUUAACCAUAAACUAUGCCGACUAGGGAUCGGGCGGCGUCUCUAUGAUGACCCGCUCGGCACCUUACGAGAAAUCAAAGUUUCCGGGUUCUGGGCGGGAGUAUGGUCGCAAGGCUGAAACUUAGACAACUUGACGGAAGGGCACCACAAGGCGUGGAGCCCGCGGCUUAAUUUGACUCAACACGGGGAAACUCACCAGGUCCAGACAAAAUAAGGAUUGACAGAUUGAGAGCUCUUUCUUGAUCUUUUGGAUGGUGGUGCAUGGCCGUUCUUAGUUGGUGGAGUGAUUUGUCUGCUUAAUUGCGAUAACGAACGAGACCUCGGCCCUUAAAUAGCCCGGUCCGCAUCCGCGGGCCGCUGGCUUCUUAGGGGGACUAUCGGCUCAAGCCGAUGGAAGUGCGCGGCAAUAACAGGUCUGUGAUGCCCUUAGAUGUUCUGGGCCGCACGCGCGCUACACUGACAGGGCCAGCGAGUACAUCACCUUGGCCGAGAGGCCCGGGUAAUCUUGUUAACCCUGUCGUGCUGGGGAUAGAGCAUUGCAAUUAUUGCUCUUCAA